AAAUUUGUCCCUUUCAUAUAUUCUAGGGGCAUGGACUAAAGGAUUUCUGUGAGAUACCACGAGAGGACAUCUGUUUCAUCUCUGACCUGCAGCUUUGCUGAUAUUUCUGGAAA
This 113-nucleotide long non-coding RNA is filed under the name Cyanistes caeruleus (blue tit). RNAcentral's name for it is "lncRNA (ENSCCEG00000019062.1)". Lineage: Eukaryota; Metazoa; Chordata; Aves; Passeriformes; Paridae. The record is from RNAcentral.